AGUCCGAGUUGUAAUUUGUAGAAGAUGCUUUGGGUGCUUGGCCCGGUCUAAGUUCCUUGGGACAGGACGUCGUAGAGGGUGAGAAUCCCGUAUGCGGCCGGUGUCGGCGCCCGUGUAAAGCUCUUUCGACGAGUCGAGUUGUUUGGGAAUGCAGCUCAAAAUGGGUGGUAAAUUUCAUCUAAAGCUAAAUAUGGGCCAGAGACCGAUAGCGCACAAGUAGAGUGAUCGAAAGAUGAAAAGCACUUUGGAAAGAGAGUUAAACAGUACGUGAAAUUGUUGAAAGGGAAGCGCUUGCAACCAGACUUGGGCGUCGCUGAUCAUCCAAAGGACUCUCUUUGGUGCACUCGACGAUGCACAGGCCAGCAUCGGUUGGAGUGGUGGGAGAAAGGUUGCCGGAACGUGGCUCUUUUCGGAGAGUGUUAUAGCCGGCGACGCAAUACCGCCUACCCCGACCGAGGACCGCGCUUCGGCUAGGAUGCUGGCGUAAUGGUUGUAAGCGACCCGUCUUGAAACACGGACCAAGGAGUCUAACAUCUAUGCGAGUGUUUGGGUGUGAAAACCCAUGCGCGGAAUGAAAGUGAACGUAGGUGAGAACCC
RNAcentral lists this ribosomal RNA (597 nucleotides) under Phyllactinia gmelinae. RNAcentral's name for it is "eukaryotic LSU rRNA". It matches the Rfam family "Eukaryotic large subunit ribosomal RNA", at positions 135 to 744 of the family's 3401-position model. Lineage: Eukaryota; Fungi; Ascomycota; Leotiomycetes; Helotiales; Erysiphaceae. The record is from RNAcentral.